This 449-nucleotide ribosomal RNA is filed under the name uncultured bacterium. RNAcentral's name for it is "partial 16S ribosomal RNA". It matches the Rfam family "Bacterial small subunit ribosomal RNA", at positions 29 to 523 of the family's 1533-position model. The record is from RNAcentral.
AGCGAACGCUGGCGGCAGGCCUAACACAUGCAAGUCGAACGAACUCUUCGGAGUUAGUGGCGGACGGGUGAGUAACACGUGGGAACGUGCCUUUAGGUUCGGAAUAACUCAGGGAAACUUGUGCAAAUACCGAAUGCGCCCUUCGGGGGAAAGAUUUAUCGCCUUUAGAGCGGCCCGCGUCUGAUUAGCUAGUUGGUGAGGUAAAGGCUCGCCAAGGCGACGAUCAGUAGCUGGUCUGAGAGGAUGAUCAGCCACAUUGGGACUGAGACACGGCCCAAACUCCUACGGGAGGCAGCAGUGGGGAAUCUUGCGCAAUGGGCGAAAGCCUGACGCAGCCAUGCCGCGUGAAUGAUGAAGGUCUUAGGAUUGUAAAAUUCUUUCACCGGGGACGAUAAUGACGGUACCCGGAGAAGAAGCCCCGGCUAACUUCGUGCCAGCCGCCGCGGUAA